This 480-nucleotide ribosomal RNA is filed under the name uncultured bacterium. RNAcentral's name for it is "partial 16S ribosomal RNA". It matches the Rfam family "Bacterial small subunit ribosomal RNA", at positions 28 to 523 of the family's 1533-position model. The record is from RNAcentral.
GACGAACGCUGGCGGCGUGCUUAACACAUGCAAGUCGAGCGAUGAAACACCUUCGGGUGCGGAUUAGCGGCGAACGGGUGAGGAACACGUGAGGAAUCUGCCUUCCACUCUGGGAUAACUCCGGGAAACCGGGGCUAAUACCGGAUACUUUCAACUGGCGGCAUCGCCGGUUGAAGAAAGUUUUUCGGUGGAAGAUGACCUCGCGGCCUAUCAGCUUGUUGGUGAGGUAAAGGCUCACCAAGGCGACGACGGGUAGCCGGCCUGAGAGGGCGACCGGCCACACUGGGACUGAGACACGGCCCAGACUCCUACGGGAGGCAGCAGUGGGGAAUAUUGGGCAAUGGAGGAAACUCUGACCCAGCGACGCCGCGUGAGGGAUGAAGGCCUUCGGGUUGUAAACCUCUUUCAGCAGGGAAUAAGCGAAAGUGAAGGUACCUGCAGAAGAAGCACCGGCUAACUAUGUGCCAGCCGCCGCGGUAA